ACAAAGUGACAGGUGGUGCAUGGUCGUCGUCAGCUCGUGUCGUGAGAUGUUGGGUUAAGUCCCGCAACGAGCGCAACCCUUAUUGUUAGUUGCCAGCAUUCAGUUGGGCACUCUAGCGAGACUGCCGGUGACAAACCGGAGGAAGGCGGGGACGACGUCAGAUCAUCAUGCCCCUUAUGACCUGGGCUACACACGUGCUACAAUGGCGUAUACAACGAGUUGCCAACCUGCGAAGGUGAGCUAAUCUCUUAAAGUACGUCUCAGUUCGGACUGCAGUCUGCAACUCGACUGCACGAAGUCGGAAUCGCUAGUAAUCGCGGAUCAGCACGCCGCGGUGAAUACGUUCCCGGGUCUUGUACACACCGCCCGUCACACCAUGGGAGUUUGUAAUGCCCAAAGCCGGUGGCCUA
Molecule: ribosomal RNA, 410 nt
Filed under: Leuconostoc citreum
Lineage: Bacteria; Bacillati; Bacillota; Bacilli; Lactobacillales; Lactobacillaceae
Description: bacterial SSU rRNA
Rfam family: Bacterial small subunit ribosomal RNA
Source: RNAcentral